UCUUGAUAACUAGACACCAUAUAUUCAUGUAUGUUUUACAAUAUAUUUUCAAAUGUGUGAUCCCAUCAGAUGCUUGUAAUGCCGUAAAUGGAGGGGGCAAGUGUUGCUGUCUGUAUUUUUAAAAGAGAGAUUACAAGAUUCACUCAAGGUCACAUGGUAACGGGCAGAAUUGGACUUGAAUCAAGAUCUUCUGACUUUAAAAACAGUUUCCCAUGAUGAAUCCUUGUUUGCAGACUGUAAAUGCACUACAGAAAUAAAGAAAGUGUGUAUGAGAGCUGGCAGAGCAAAGGGGGCAAGCAGAGCCAAGCACCGUGAACAAGGCUCAGGGUCAUAGGGCACACAUGAUAGUGUAAUGCAGGAGGAGUGCGAGCUUUGUCACUGGGCAUUCAGGUCUUCCCUGGCAGGAGACUGCUUACGUGCCACACAGGACCCUGCCACCGUCAAGUCCACUCUCCUGCCUGUGCAGAGGUGGAAGCUGUUCCUAGGCUGAUUUGCAGCAUUAGAGGGCAGGCAGCCACAGCUGAAGGGACCAAAGACAU
This is a long non-coding RNA of Homo sapiens (human), 539 nucleotides long. RefSeq lists it as uncharacterized. Lineage: Eukaryota; Metazoa; Chordata; Mammalia; Primates; Hominidae. The transcript has 2 exons. The record is from RefSeq and is a predicted model, not a curated record.